This 480-nucleotide ribosomal RNA is filed under the name uncultured bacterium. Its description in RNAcentral is "bacterial SSU rRNA". It matches the Rfam family "Bacterial small subunit ribosomal RNA", at positions 26 to 507 of the family's 1533-position model. The record is from RNAcentral.
AGGACGAACGCUGGCGGCGUGCCUAACACAUGCAAGUCGAGCGGGAUUUUCCGGAUUGAAGCUUCGGCAGAUUGAAGGAAAUGAGAGCGGCGGACGGGUGAGUAACGCGUAGGCAACCUGCCCUUUGCAGAGGGAUAGCCAUUGGAAACGAUGAUUAAAACCUCAUAAUGCCAGACUGAGACAUCUCUAACUGGCCAAAGAUUUAUCGGCAAAGGAUGGGCCUGCGUCUGAUUAGCUAGUUGGUGGGGUAACGGCCUACCAAGGCGACGAUCAGUAGCCGACCUGAGAGGGUGAUCGGCCACAUUGGAACUGAGACACGGUCCAAACUCCUACGGGAGGCAGCAGUGGGGAAUAUUGCACAAUGGGCGAAAGCCUGAUGCAGCAACGCCGCGUGAAGGAAGAAGGUCUUCGGAUCGUAAACUUCUGUCCUUAGGGAAGAUAAUGACGGUACCUUUGGAGGAAGCCCCGGCUAACUACGUG